UACGUAGGGUGCGAGCGUUGUCCGGAAUUAUUGGGCGUAAAGAGCUCGUAGGCGGUGUGUCACGUCGUUCGUGAAAACCUGCAGCUUAACUGUGGGCGUGCGGUCGAUACGGGCAUCACUGGAGUUCGGCAGGGGAGACUGGAAUUCCUGGUGUAGCGGUGAAAUGCGCAGAUAUCAGGAGGAACACCGGUGGCGAAGGCGGGUCUCUGGGCCGAUGACUGACGCUGGAGGAGCGAAAGCCGUGGGGAGCAAACAGG
This 257-nucleotide ribosomal RNA is filed under the name uncultured bacterium. Its description in RNAcentral is "partial 16S ribosomal RNA". It matches the Rfam family "Bacterial small subunit ribosomal RNA", at positions 524 to 776 of the family's 1533-position model. The record is from RNAcentral.